This 378-nucleotide ribosomal RNA is filed under the name uncultured eukaryote. Its description in RNAcentral is "partial 18S ribosomal RNA". It matches the Rfam family "Eukaryotic small subunit ribosomal RNA", at positions 592 to 976 of the family's 1831-position model. The record is from RNAcentral.
CAAUAGCGUAUAUUAAAGUUGUUGCAGUUAAAAAGCUCGUAGUUGGAUUUGUGGCGUAUGGUGUGUUCCGGGCUUUUUGUCUGAGUAACUUGCCAUUGCCAUCCUUGGGUGGAACCUGUGUGGCAUUAGGUUGUCGUGCAGGGGAUGCCCAUCGUUUACUGUGAAAAAAUUAGAGUGUUCAAAGCAGGCUUAUGCCGUUGAAUAUAUUAGCAUGGAAUAAUGAGAUAGGACUUUUUUGCUAUUUUGUUGGUUUGCGCAAGAAGGUAAUGAUUAAUAGGGACAGUUGGGGGUAUUCGUAUUCCAUUGUCAGAGGUGAAAUUCUUGGAUUUUUGGAAGACGAACUACUGCGAAAGCAUUUACCAAGGAUGUUUUCAUUAA